ACAUAUAAGAACUUCAAAGUAAAUAAAGUGAGAUAUGCAAUUCAAGUCAAGACAAUAACAAGCAAGAGUCUAUAUCUAGUAUUGAAUUUAGCAAAGAACAUAAAGGUGCAAGAGCUCUCGUUGUCUGUGACUCGAAUGUCUCCAAAUGGUGUUUGCGUGCAAGAAGUGGGAGAUUGGUUGAGAUCAUAAAAUAUUAUUUUUUAAUUGAGAACUCAAUCUACUAAACCUCACACUUAGUCUCCUUCUGAAUCUUAUUUUGACACAUCCCGAGACCACUAGUCAGGCACAAGUCAAAAUGA
This 299-nucleotide long non-coding RNA is filed under the name Hordeum vulgare. Its description in RNAcentral is "long non-coding RNA (HVUL_LNC011639)". Lineage: Eukaryota; Viridiplantae; Streptophyta; Magnoliopsida; Poales; Poaceae. The record is from RNAcentral.